AGUAACGCGUGGAUAACCUGCCUCACACUGGGGGAUAACAGUUAGAAAUGACUGCUAAUACCGCAUAAGCGCACAGUACCGCAUGGUACAGUGUGAAAAACUCCGGUGGUGUGAGAUGGAUCCGCGUCUGAUUAGCUAGUUGGUAAGGUAACGGCUUACCAAGGCGACGAUCAGUAGCCGACCUGAGAGGGUGACCGGCCACAUUGGGACUGAGACACGGCCCAA
Molecule: ribosomal RNA, 225 nt
Filed under: uncultured bacterium
Lineage: Bacteria
Description: partial 16S ribosomal RNA
Rfam family: Bacterial small subunit ribosomal RNA
Source: RNAcentral